This is a long non-coding RNA of Synchiropus splendidus (mandarinfish), 887 nucleotides long. RefSeq lists it as uncharacterized. The transcript is spliced from 3 exons. The record is from RefSeq and is a predicted model, not a curated record. Lineage: Eukaryota; Metazoa; Chordata; Actinopteri; Syngnathiformes; Callionymidae.
CACAUCAACUCAACAUCACCUCUUGAGCUCAAAUCGACAUCUUGAGCAUCAUGAAUCUUGCAAAAGUAUUUAUUGUCACCCUGCUGGUUGUUGCUGCCCCGUGGACUACCACAGAACAUUCUACUGACACUAUAUCUACAGAGGCCCCAGAAACCGAUGCAACAUCUAUAGAGGCUCCAGAAACUGAUGAAAUACCUACAGUGGCCCCAGAAACUGAAGCUACAUCUAUAGAGGCCCCAGAAACUGAUGAAAUACCUACAGUGGCCCCAGAAACUGAAGCUACAUCUACAGAGGCCCCAGAAACCGAUGCAACAUCUAUAGAGGCUCCAGAAACUGAUGAAAUACCUACAGUGGCCCCAGAAACUGAAGCUACAUCUAUAGAGGCCCCAGAAACUGACAAAACAUCUAUAGAGGCCCCAAAAACUGAUGAAAUAUCUACAGUGGCCCCAGAAACUGAAGCUACAUCUAUAGAGGCCCCAGAAACUGACAAAACAUCUAUAGAGGCCCCACAAACUGAUGAAAUAUCUACAGUGGCCCCAGAAACUGAAGCUACAUCUACAUCGGCCCCAAAAAUUGGUGCUACAUCUACACCAGCCCAAGAAACCAAGGAAAUAUCUAUAGCGACACAAGCAGCAUCUGCACAGAGCACACCGUCCGUAACUGCAGUUGAAGUUACGGUUAAAGUUACAGCCACCACUAACUCCAGUGGUCUGAACCAAUUGAGACUCAUGUCAGUCAUUGUGGUUAUGACAGUUCAUGUUUUCAGAGUGUUUUAUUGAUAUAAUUAUUUGAAGAAUUCUUUCCCAUCUAUUUAUAUUCAUGAAUGUCCUCAUUACAAGUAUGCUGACGGGAAGUCUGGUACCAGAUAAAGCUGUGUAAUACUGUGA